AUGCACAGUUCAGCAGCACGUAUACUAAAAUUGGAACGAUACACAGAGAUUAUUAUGUCCCCUGUGCAAGAAUGACACGCAAAUUCGUGAGGCUUCCAUAUUUUAU
This 106-nucleotide small nuclear RNA is filed under the name Castor canadensis (American beaver). The record is from RNAcentral. Lineage: Eukaryota; Metazoa; Chordata; Mammalia; Rodentia; Castoridae.